RNA transcript from Oncorhynchus tshawytscha (Chinook salmon), 8540 nucleotides. It is a transcript of the gene named protocadherin alpha-C2-like, with no coding region annotated. Lineage: Eukaryota; Metazoa; Chordata; Actinopteri; Salmoniformes; Salmonidae. The record is from RefSeq and is a predicted model, not a curated record. The transcript has 8 exons.
UUUAGAGCUGGUUUGCUAUUUCGUCAGUAGCAGAAUUCAGCCGUGAGCAUCGAGGAUACAUUGUAAUUUAAAACCUUUCAUCGCCAACAUACUGUAAGUUAACGAGCUGUGAUCAUAUUUGGGACUGCAAUGGAUAAGAUUAGUUUACCAUUAGAGGCAUAGUGGAAGUGCUCGGGAUUUUUUAAAACCAUAAAACAUGGAACAAAGAGGACGCGGGGCAUUGCAGGAGCGAUGCCAGUGGGUCGCGUUCAUGGUUGCUUUGGUUCUCUUUUGGAGCGGAGCUUCUGCUCAGAUAAGGUACUCAAUCUCUGAAGAGCUUACGGAAGGAACUGUCGUGGGGAAUGUAGCUAAGGAUUUGGGAAUAGAUCUGAGCACCUUGAAGGAUAGGAGUUUUCGAAUCGUGUCUGGCUCGACCGACCCCCUUUUCCAGGUAAACCAGAAUGACGGCAUCUUGUAUAUGAACCGAAAAAUAGACCGAGAGGAGGUGUGCGAACGGAGCAGCGUGUGUUUAAUAAACCUGAAAACCGUUCUAGAAAACCCGCUGGAGAUCCAUUAUGUAGCGGUGGAGGUGUUAGAUGUUAACGACCAUUCUCCCAGCUUUCCGGAGAAAGAGAAACGUUUAGAGAUAUUUGAGUCAGCGUCACCGGGGGCGAGAUUUCAGCUACAAGCUGCGCGCGACCCAGAUAGAGAUCCAUUCUCCGUUCAACAAUAUAAACUUAGUCACAAUGACCAUUUUCGUUUAGAAGUUAAAGACCGAGGUGAGGAUGGCAAAAUGCCGUUUUUGGUUUUACAUAAACCACUAGACAGAGAAGCAGUAAGGAGCCACAAACUCCUCCUCACUGCCAUUGACGGUGGAAAACCUCCUAGAUCUGGAACUCUUGAAAUAUUUGUUGAUGUAUUGGAUGUUAACGACAAUAACCCAGUGUUCACUGAAGAUGAAUAUACUGUAAGGUUGACUGAAAACGCUCCUUUGGGAACAAUGGUGAUACGGGUAAAUGCCACCGAUUUAGACAGUGGUCUGAACGGGGAUAUCAUUUAUUCAUUUGGCAAUGACGUCAACAGCAGGUUAAUGAAACUUUUUAAUUUAGACACCAUCACCGGUGAAAUAACUGUGAAAGGACAAAUUGACUUUGAGGAAAAAGAUAGUUAUCUGAUUGAUAUACAGGCAUCAGAUCAAGGACCCGUUCCCCUGACAACGGACAAGAGUGUAAAAAUUAAAAUAGUUGACUUCAACGACAAUGCACCUGUGAUAGAGGUGACAUUAUUUUCUAAGGCAAUCCCCGAAGAUUCCAAGCCCGGAACGACUGUAGCACUAAUCAGUGUUAAUGAUUUGGACUCUGGUCUCAAUGGGAAAGUUACAUGUUCUGUAUUGGAAGAUAUACCUUUCAAACUAAUGCCGUCUUUACAAGAUAACAUGUACUCUGUAAUCACCAAGUCCCCACUGGACAGAGAGAAACAAUCUGAAUAUGAUCUAACAAUAUUUGCUACAGACGCAGGCCAGCCGUCCAUGUCAUCUGUAAAAACUGUAAGGGUUGUUGUAUCAGAUGUGAAUGAUAACUGUCCAGAGUUUUCACUGAGUCCCUAUACGUUCUAUGUCACUGAAAAUAACGACCCAGGUGCCUCUGUAUUUUCGGUGAGUGCGUCAGAUCUUGACAUAAAUGAAAACGCGUUUAUUUCAUAUCAUAUUCUGAGAGACGGUGGUGACGAGAAUAAAUGGGCAUAUUUUCUCAACAUUAAUUCAGAUAAUGGAAACAUUUUGGCGCUAAAAAGCUUUGACUUUGAAACCCUCAAAGCAUUUCAAUUCCAAGUUGUAGCUACAGACUCUGGAACUCCGUCACUAAGCAGUAACGUCACAGUGAACGUGUUCAUUCUGGAUCAGAACGACAACGCUCCAGUGAUCUUGUAUCCAGUCAGCCCUAACGGUUCCGCUGAAGGUGUGGAGGAGAUUCCCCGCAAUGUGAACGCAGGCCAUUUGGUGACUAAAGUGAGAGCCUAUGACGCUGAUAUAGGAUAUAACGGAUGGUUAUUAUUUUCACUGCAGGAAGUUACUGACCACAGUCUCUUUGCUUUGGACCGCUAUACGGGACAGAUAAGGACACUUCGGUCAUUCACAGAGACAGACGAGGCUGAGCAUAAACUGGUCAUACUGGUAAAAGACAACGGGAACGUUUCACUGUCAGCAACAGCUACUGUGAUUAUCAACGUUGUGGAGCCCAAAGAGGCUUUUGUAGCUUCUGAUGUUAAAAGUUCAGUAAAAGACGAGGAGGAGAACAGCGUUACAUUUUAUUUGAUCAUUACUUUGGGGUCAGUUUCAACGCUUUUUCUCAUCAGUAUCAUCGUGUUGAUUGUAAUGCAGUGCUCCAAACCCAAAGACUAUUCCUCCAAGUAUUUACAAGAUGUGAAUUACGACGGGACACUGUGCCACAGCAUCCAGUACAGAUCCGGAGACAAACGGUACAUGUUAGUUGGACCCAGAAUGAGUAUAGGUUCUACAAUAGUCCCGGGCAGCAAUGGGAAUACUCUAGUGCUACCUGAACACAGAAGAGCUUCUGGAGAGUGUCUCGUGAAAGGAAAGAGUGGACAGAUCGAGAGCGUGGAUCCGCCGAACAUCCGUAGUCAUUCACUGAACCACAGCAUUUCUUCACUUCUGAACUUAAUCAGAGUUCCAGGUAAGUUCACUGUUACUGGUUAACUUUGUGUGCAAAUUCAAACAGUUGAGCAUCAUUACAGCUAGCUAGCUAGCUAGCAUUGUAGUGUAGGCUUUCUGUUGCCGCACUAUUUGCGUAGUAAGAUGCUAAUGUGGGCAUCUAGCUAGAGCUAAUUAGCUAGCUAUCUACAGCAACAUUAAGUUACACCACUUUUAGUGGUUUAUGGACAGUAUGUACGCCCAGUGGAUCGGUGCAUCACCUGUUUUACAUUUUCAACAGAGCGGUAUUAGCUAUUAUCUGUAGCUAGCGGACUUUACUGACUAAGUAUCGGCCAGCAGGUUAGUCGGUGCAACAUGCGUUUUACUCUGAAAAGAAAGCUGUUAGUUGUUAGUAGACAGUAUUUAGCGUCAGGCAGGUCGAUGCAACACGUGAUUUACUCUAAACAGAGCACUGCUCUCUUGUAAUUUGUGCAUAUUUGUCUCAAUGCAAUUUAAAUAAACUUUUUUCUUGUCAUCAAGGAUGCAGGCUGUACGAGUGAAGUAUAGGGAUUGUCAGAAGUACAUUUGUUAUGAGUUGCAACUGACCUUCAAAUCCUUUUUGGAUUGUGGUGAGUGAAAAGUUUCAAAUUUCACACAAUAUCCAAUGGAGCAACAUACUUACACUUUAAAUAUACUUACUUUAUAUUUACUGUCAAAUUGAUUGCCACUUUCCUUGCUGAUAAUGAAUACAAAGCAAACUUGCCUCCCCAAAUCACAGAUCAGUCAAAGAUUGGUUUAUGUUUUGGGAGUUGUCUAAUUAUGCUCAUCUGUAGCCGCGCUCAUUGUCUUUGCCUGUCAUGAAUGGUUUUAAAGAAUAAGUGAUACUAACAUUUGUAUGCUGCCACAAUAUGUGUUGAUAGCUAUCUGUGGCGUAUUGCUAUAGUACUCAGACUGCUGUUAUAAUAAUUCAGUACGUGGUUGUAGAUGGCAUAUAAUUGGAAUUGACAUGGAAAGACGUGGAAAGGCGCAUGAAGUCAGUUUUGGGAUUAUGUUCACGUAAAGAUGACCUCUUAAUUUCUGUCUUCUGUUCUGGUUUUUCUGGGGGAAAAAUACACAACAUAUUUAAUCAAUAAGGUUGUGCAACUAUAUUUUGUCUUCACAGUUGCCAAUAAAUUUGACAUUCCAACCUUGGACUUAAAAGUCUAUGAUGAAUCGAAGACUGAAGUUGAUGAGGAGGUGUUUGAGUUUCUUCUAAAGAAGCAAGACCUUGGUGUGCUGGAGAUUUGUUUUCCUGCAAGACCCAAGUCCUGAUGGGUAGUUGCUUAUUAGCUUAGUGCUUCACAUUCAUCCAUACAGUCGUAGCUAGCCUAACACAUGUUCUGAAUAUGUGAGACAAGCAGAUAUAUCUGCUGAUUUUCUUUUCUCAUUUUUAUAUUUUAAAAUGAUCUUUGUUUCUGUGCUCACCUAUCCCAUCCCGUUUAGAACAGUAGUGGGCCUAAUCAAUUCAAAAUGUUACAUUUUUGCAUUCCGCUUGUCAUUAACAAAAGUCCUCUAAUCAUAAUAAUGGAUGUUUCCACCUAAAUUGUGUUAUAAUUACAGUGUUAUUCACACCAGUUAAAUGUUAACAUGAUUGCUAGAUUCGUUGAGCUUCUCUGCAAGCAGCUCCUUAUCAAAAUACAGUGGAUACAAUGAGGGGGACUCCGAUGACACCAUUAUAUUGCAGCAGAGUCCUGCUACAAGAAAGACAGCUGAGGAUAAUUGUCUAUCUCAUAUGAUUGAAGACAUUUUGAACAACAAACCUGGAGGAGAGAGGAUCAUGAUUGAGUAUGCUCGAACAAAAAGCCUAACAGAUAGCAGAAGACGCGAUAUGGCCAAGAUAUUAGUUGCACAAAUUACAAGUGAACAUGGGUAUAUGUCAUAUACUCAUUACAUACCUUACCACCUAACACAAUUUUUUAGCAGAAGUUGUGAUUUAUACAUUAAUACUUUUGUUUGGAUCUCAAACAGUAAAGUGUGUGUGUCUAGGACAAGUCCUUCAAGGCGUGUUAGAGGACUACGCAAAGGGCAUCAUUGCCUUGUUCCCAUACCUGGCCGAUCCUAGGAGCAAAUUUGGUUAUGAGCAUUAUUACAGUGCAGAAGAUGGGAGUGGAUAUCUAGCAUGGAGACUGAAAUUUGUGCAAAGGGAAGCAUCAGAGGGACGACAGAAGACCAUGCAUCAGUCACUGACAUGUGGUCCAAAAGCUGAUGGGCAGUUUUCCUCUCUGAAGGAGUCUCUAACAUACAGCUGAAGCAUACAGCUGAUGAAACAAUUGUAAAGGAGAAGAUGAAGCAGAUGUUCGCCUAUUGUCAAAAUAUGGUUCAUGACCCAGUGAAGUUCUCUGAAAUAUUCACAUGGUUUCCAUGAUUCCAAGACAUAGCAGCAAUGAUUUUAGUCUGAUGUUUGGUGAUGCAACCUCUGCAAAGUUCCUGGAGAAGUGGCCUUACUCUCUACAAGGAGAAAGUCAUUGACCAAAGCAGUGGCCUCACACAGACAGGCGACCUGGUUCAAAAUGCUGAAUCCACAACAGAAGUGGAAAAUGGAUGGGACAGUGACAUGUCCUCCAUUUUGGUCCUUGUCCACCUUCUGCCACCGUCACCUCAUGGCUGCAAGAGACCAGGAAAAAUCUCAGCCAGACACACCAGUGAACACAUUGAAGUUUAUCACGGUGUCAUUACAGUUGACUGUUCUGUCCCCAUUCCUAAUCCUAAUAACUACUUUUAAGAUUAUGGACAAAUCAUGACUGGGACCAGUAUCCAGGGGCAUCUGGAGAGCGUCAUGGAAAGCCUUCAACCCUAUCUGCUUGCUGUGGGUUCCCAGAGGAGUGGGAUUCACAAGUACUCCAUUGUGAUUGACAAACAUGCAAUACCUUGUGAGUCACCAGACUCUAUUUCCUGUUUUGAUGAGCUUUUCAAAGCUCAUGUUUGUCUUUGGUACCUUGUACAAUCAGGAUCUGGUAAAUGUGUACAACUUUUGCAAACCACAAUUUAUGAAAUUGAUGUUGAUACCACCAAGGUUAAUCCUAGGGUUGCAGAGUUGAGGGCUCGGAUGCUGCAUUGAGUUACUAAAAGCUUUGAAGUUGCAAAGGGUUAAAACGCAGCAUAGGAAAUAACCUUUUUCCUUUCACACAAAUGUUUUCAUAUCAUUCAUCAAAAAUGUUGUGUUUUGCUUGCAAAAGCCCACAGGCAAAUGCCAAUUCCUUGACAAAACACUUGAAGUUGGUCCACGGACUUUGUCAAGGAAAGACACUUGGUCUUAAAUGCGGUCAGGCUGGUUGUUCACAAGUUUAUGGCACUUUUUCUGGGUUCAGAAAGGAUCUUUAUAAAGCACAUGAACCUUGUUCUGAUCAUGGUGAAGGCUCCUGAAUAUGUAACAGUAAGUCAUUUUGAUGACCUGCCAUCAACAAAUUCCCCUUCUGACUCAGUCCUUGCCAAUAAGAGUCUUGUAGACAGCUGCGCUGCAACCAUAGCUGAACUUAAAGUGGCAGGUGUAGGUGAAACAACUAUUAGCUCUUUGGUAAUUUCCAAUGAAUAGAUAGUUGAUGAUAUUCAUAUUCAAGCUAAAGGAUCUGGGAAGAAGUGUCUGUCUACAGGAGCCUAUUAAAACUGACAUUGAGUGUAAAAUUGAUCAGUGUUUUGAAAACAUGUAAAAUCCCUUUGGCGUAUUAAAUUCUGAAAGUAAGAGAAGGCAGUAUUUUACAGAAAAGUGGGGAAGGGUAGACCCAGUUGAAUGCGUUCUUGGUACAAGAUUUCAUACACAAUGCAAUCGGACUACGGGAGGCUACGAUCAAAUUGUUGUUACUGAUACAUUUGUUUACAUCCCAAUUUUGAAAACAUUAGUUCAUUUACAAACACCCUAAUAAAAAGGAGAUGAUGCAGACUGAUUCCAGUUCAAGAGAACUUUAUGACUUAUGUGAUGGAGAUCUGUUCCAAGAGCCAUGCUCUAUUUUCAAAACAAGCAAUUCAGAUACAGCUUCUCUGUGAUGAUUUUGAAACUGUAAAUCCUCUUGGAUCAAAACAGGGAAAACAAAAUAAAUUAGGAGCGAUCUAUUUCAACUUAUGUCAUUUUUCUCCAAAGUUCAAAUCAUUUCUGCUUAAUAGUCAUUUGGUUGCUUUAUUUCAUUCCCAAGACAUUAAAACAUAUGGCUUUUCUAAAAUACUUGAUCCAAUUGUGCAGGAUAUUAAAAUACUUGAGGGAUGGAUUUAUGGUUCCCUUGUAUGAUCAACCAGUGUAUGGAACUAUUGUCCAAGUCACAGGUUACAACCUUGGUCUUCACUGUUUAUUUGGUUUUGUUGAAUCAUUCAUUGCCAGAUAUUGUUGUCCCUUUUGUCUUGCUGAGACAGAUGACUUUCAGACUGAAUUUGAUGAAGAUUCGCCCAAGAUAAUUAUGCAAACUCGAGCACUUCAUGCAGAACACUGCCAAAAAAAAGGCGACAAAUCCCAGUCUUCCCUAUGUGAUGGGUGUUAAACGUUCUUGCGUUCUAAACUCCUUGCCGUACUUUAAUACACGUGAAAACUUCUCUCUCAAUAUUAUCCAUGAUAUCUUGGAGGGAGUGGCACAAUAUGAAAUUAAACUGCUAGUACUGCACUUGAUAGACAAGUACACAACAUGAAAUGAAAUAGACAGGAGAAUAAAGAGCUUUAACUAUGGUUACAUGGAGCAAAACAACAAACCUGCAGUGAAGUUAGGAGAGAACUCUAAUGACUUGGGGUUAAAUGCUAUCCAGUCCUGGUGUUUACUUUGCAAUCUACCACUUCUCUUUGGAGACUUAGUUUGUCCAAAUGAUCUACACUGGUAAUUUACUGUUGCUGUUGCUUCAGUGAUAUCUCCAAUGAUAUCAAAGGGUGUUACAAUUGUUUUGAAACACUUAAUCGCAGAACACCACAGGUUAUUCAAGCAAUUGUUUCCAAAAAAGAGGCUGCUACCGAAGCAUAAUUUUAUGGUGCAUUACCCCACAUGUAUGCUUGAAAUUUGACCAAUUUUACAUAGCUGGUGCAUGUGCAAAAUGAAGCAAAGCAUAAUUCCUUUAAAAAACAAUUAAAAAGCUUAAAUGUAACAAACAUUGGCAAAAAGAACACAAGUCAAACAGCAUACAGUUGGUAGACAUUUGACACCAACAGAGUCAUGAUUAGUCCAGGUAAAAUGUUAUCUUUAAAUGUCAUGGACUGGGGCUGUAAGAUGGCUGAGACUCUUCCGGUACCAAUUGACACCACGGUUUUAAAUGUUAAAUGGACCAAACACCAUGGAAAUAUGUAUCAUUUAGUUGUUUGUCUUAAAGUUCAUUGUGAGAUGCCAGUUUUUCAGAAAAUCCACCAUGUUGUUGUUAAAGAUGAGUGAUUACUGUUGGUUACUUUUGCCCUAUAAAUAAUGUCUUUAUGAGCAUUUUAACGCAGAUAGAGUUGGUGUGCAACAGAGGGACCUUAUGUAGUGGAUGUUAAAUAGCUUUUCUGUUACAAAGCAUUUGAUAUACAGAUGUCUUACAGUUGUGGUGAUUCAAGUUUGUUUAUUGUCUCAUACUGUUUCCCGUGACUCUAAAAACGGCACAGUAAGCUCUUUAAAACCAAGAUGUAUUGUAUUGAAAUAUUGGCUUUUUGAUUUACUUUUAAAGGAGGGACAGAUGCCAAAAUGUAAUUUUACAGAGGCCACAAUUUUAUUUGAUCAUCAGUGUUUUUGAUAUCUGAGAUGCUAGUUUCACAAAAUCCUCCAUGUCAUUGUUAGAUGUAUUGAAUUGCAAUAUUGAGCUUUUCUAUGUACAUGUAUUCAAGUGAACAGAGGCCAACAUUUAAUUUCAGUCCACAAUUUUAUUUUAUUAUCAUCAGUAUUUUGAUGUAUGUAUUGCAAAUGUCUUACAUUUAAGAAUAAAGUGCUUUGUUAAA